GCAUAUCAAUAAGCGGAGGAAAAGAAACCAACAGGGAUUGCCCUAGUAACGGCGAGUGAAGCGGCAACAGCUCAAAUUUGAAAUCUGGCGCAAGCCCGAGUUGUAAUUUGUAGAGGAUGCUUCUGGGCAGCGGCCGUUUUAAGUUCCUUGGAACAGGACGUCAUAGAGGGUGAGAAUCCCGUAUGUGACCGGCACGUACCCUUUACGUAGCUCCUUCGACGAGUCGAGUUGUUUGGGAAUGCAGCUCUAAAUGGGAGGUAAAUUCCUUCUAAAGCUAAAUACCGGCCAGAGACCGAUAGCGCACAAGUAGAGUGAUCGAAAGAUGAAAAGCACUUUGGAAAGAGAGUUAAAAAGCACGUGAAAUUGUUGAAAGGGAAGCGCUUACAACCAGACUUCGUGGCGGUGUUCCGCCGGUCUUCUGACCGGUUCAUUCGCCGCCGCGAGGCCAGCAUCGUCUGGGGCCGCCGGAUAAGACCUUAGGAAUGUAGCUUGCCUCGGUAAGUGUUAUAGCCUAGGGUGAUGCGGCGUGCCUCGGGCGAGGUCCGCGCUUCGGCAAGGAUGCUGGCGUAAUGGUUGUCAGCGGCCCGUCUUGAAACACGGACC
RNAcentral lists this ribosomal RNA (603 nucleotides) under Plurivorosphaerella nawae. RNAcentral's name for it is "eukaryotic LSU rRNA". It matches the Rfam family "Eukaryotic large subunit ribosomal RNA", at positions 38 to 667 of the family's 3401-position model. Lineage: Eukaryota; Fungi; Ascomycota; Dothideomycetes; Mycosphaerellales; Mycosphaerellaceae. The record is from RNAcentral.